GAGUGGCGCUGGGUAAGCACAGCAUGCAGAGCCGCCCCGCAUUGGCCUCCAGCAAACCCUAGGUCGAAAGUCCUGGACACUGUCAAAUGUUUCAGUGUCAAAAACAUAAAGAUUUGGAAGGGCAAACGAGACCAAAUUAGAUGUGCUUAUACAUCAGACUGCAUCCAAAAGCAUCGACCAGAACAAUAUGCGUGGUGUGGUGUUGAAGGUGGUGCUCGGUUUGACAGUAACUUCAGUUCCAGGGGCUCUACCACCCACUUCUCAACUCGGAGCACGAACAUGAAUAUUGAUGAGGCUUUUCGUGACGUAAAGGUGGUGAACUCAAUGAAGAGAACAGUCUGUGUUGGCUGCAUAUUUGAGUCUGUUGGUUGGUGACCGUGAAUUAAAG
Mus caroli (Ryukyu mouse) is the source of this 388-nucleotide non-coding RNA. The record is from RefSeq and is a predicted model, not a curated record. Lineage: Eukaryota; Metazoa; Chordata; Mammalia; Rodentia; Muridae.